Molecule: ribosomal RNA, 468 nt
Filed under: uncultured bacterium
Lineage: Bacteria
Description: partial 16S ribosomal RNA
Rfam family: Bacterial small subunit ribosomal RNA
Source: RNAcentral
GACGAACGCUGGCGGCGUGCUUAACACAUGCAAGUCGAACGGAAAGGCCCUGCUUUUGUGGGGUGCUCGAGUGGCGAACGGGUGAGUAACACGUGAGUAACCUGCCCUUGACUUUGGGAUAACUUCAGGAAACUGGGGCUAAUACCGGAUAGGAGCUCCUGCUCCUGGGUGGGGGUUGGAAGGUUUCGGCGGUUGGGGAUGGACUCGCGGCUUAUCAGCUUGUUGGUGGGGUAGUGGCUUACCAAGGCUUUGACGGGUAGCCGGCCUGAGAGGGUGACCGGCCACAUUGGGACUGAGAUACGGCCCAGACUCCUACGGGAGGCAGCAGUGGGGAAUAUUGCACAAUGGGCGGAAGCCUGAUGCAGCAACGCCGCGUGCGGGAUGACGGCCUUCGGGUUGUAAACCGCUUUCGCCUGUGACGAAGCGUGAGUGACGGUAAUGGGUAAAGAAGCACCGGCUAACUACGUG